Molecule: ribosomal RNA, 896 nt
Filed under: uncultured bacterium
Lineage: Bacteria
Description: bacterial SSU rRNA
Rfam family: Bacterial small subunit ribosomal RNA
Source: RNAcentral
GGGCGUAAGCGUGCGCAGGCGGUUCGCUAAGACAGAUGUGAAAUCCCGGGCUUAACCUGGGAACUGCAUUUGUGACUGGCGGGCUAGAGUAUGGCAGAGGGGGGUAGAAUUCCACGUGUAGCAGUGAAAUGCGUAGAGAUGUGGAGGAAUACCGAUGGCGAAGGCAGCCUUCUGGGCCAAUACUGACGCUCAUGCACGAAAGCGUGGGGAGCAAACAGGAUUAGAUACUCUGGUAGUUCACGCUCUAAACGAUGUCAACUAGUUGUCGGGUCUUCAUUUGACUUGGUAACGUAGCUAACGCGUGAAGUUUGACCGCCUGGGGAGUACGGUCGCAAGAUUAAAACUCAAAGGAAUCGACGGGGACUUGCACAAGCGGUGGAUUGAAUGUGGAAUUAAUUUCGAUUGCAACGCGAAAAACCUUACCCUACCCCUUUGACAUUGGUCCGGAAACCCCUGCUUGAAAAGGUGGGGGUUGCUUCGAAAGAAAAACCGAUACACAGGUGCUUGCAUGGCUUGUUCGUCCAGCUUCGUGUCGUGAGAUGUUUGGGGUUAAAGUUCCCGCAAACGAGCGCAACCCCUUUGUUCCUCUAGUUUGCUACGCAAGAAGCACUUCUAGGGAGACUGCCCGGUGACAAACCCGGGAGGUAGGUGGGGGAUGACGUUCAAGUCUCUCAUGGCUCCUUUAUGGGGUAGGGCUUUCCACACGUCCAUACAAUGGGUCGGAAACAGAGGGUCGUCCAAUCUCGCGAGGGGGAGCUCAAUCCCUCAGAAAACUCGAUCGUAGUCCCGGAUCGCACUUCUGCCAACUUCGAGUGCGUGAAAGCUGGGAAUCCGCUAGUAAUCGCGGGAUCAGCAUGCCCGCGGGUGAAUACGUUUCCCCGGUCCUUGCACACACC